This 164-nucleotide small nuclear RNA is filed under the name Chrysemys picta bellii (western painted turtle). RNAcentral's name for it is "U1 spliceosomal RNA (ENSCPBG00000008483.1)". It matches the Rfam family "U1 spliceosomal RNA". Rfam says of the family: U1 is a small nuclear RNA (snRNA) component of the spliceosome (involved in pre-mRNA splicing). The record is from Rfam by way of RNAcentral. Lineage: Eukaryota; Metazoa; Chordata; Testudines; Emydidae.
AUACUUACCUGGCAGGGGAGAUACCAUGAUCACCAAGUUGGUUUUUCCAGAGUGAGGCUCAUCCAUUGCGCUGCGGGUGUGUUGACCUCUGUGAUUUCCCCAAAUGCGGGAAACUCAUCUGCAGAAUUUGUGGUAGUGGGGGACUGCGUUCGCGCUUUCCCCUG